GUGGGGAAUAUUGCACAAUGGGGGAAACCCUGAUGCAGCGACGCCGCGUGGAGGAAGAAGGUCUUCGGAUUGUAAACUCCUGUCCGAGGGUAAGAAGAAAGUGACGUAACCCUUGGAGGAAGCACCGGCUAACUACGUGCCAGCAGCCGCGGUAAAACGUAGGGUGCAAGCGUUGUCCGGAAUUACUGGGUGUAAAGGGAGCGCAGGCGGAGUGGCAAGUUGGGAGUGAAACGUGCGGGCUCAACCCGCAACCUGCUUUCAAAACUGCCGGUCUUGAGUGGUGUAGAGGUAGGCGGAAUUCCCGGUGUAGCGGUGGAAUGCGUAGAUAUCGGGAGGAACACCAGUGGCGAAGGCGGCCUACUGGGCACUAACUGACGCUGAGGCUCGAAAGCAUGGGUAGCAAACAGGA
Molecule: ribosomal RNA, 409 nt
Filed under: uncultured bacterium
Lineage: Bacteria
Description: bacterial SSU rRNA
Rfam family: Bacterial small subunit ribosomal RNA
Source: RNAcentral